GAGAGAGGCAGUGGCAAAUGGAGGCGAAAUGGAUUGGGAAAGAACAAUGGGAAGCUGUUGUUGUUGAUUCUGUUCUUCUGUAGAGGAUUCUUGGGAUUGUGGGGUUUGGAGACUGGAAUCCAUCUGGGUCUUGGAGGAGAUUGAAUUGGGGAUGCUGGAGCGGGUGUGCGUGUGCGUGGUUUUUGGUUGGCUUGGCCUUGCUCUCUGGAGAAGCCUGUUGUGUGUGCGAGAGAGAGAGAUUGUGACCUUUUUAUUUUUAGGAAGGGAAGGGUUAUGGUGGGGAUUUAGAAGCCGAUUCAGUGUGUCGUUUGUGUAAUAGGCUUUCCUCUCUCAACAACUCUCUGCACCUAACCUAAAAUCUUC
RNAcentral lists this unclassified non-coding RNA (363 nucleotides) under Hevea brasiliensis (rubber tree). Lineage: Eukaryota; Viridiplantae; Streptophyta; Magnoliopsida; Malpighiales; Euphorbiaceae. The record is from RNAcentral.